UUUCCGUAGGUGAACCUGCGGAAGGAUCAUUAACAAAAUCUCUAACACACCCACCCUGUUGAAGCGUCUGUGUGUGCCCAUCAGCGGCAAGAGAGAGAGAGAGGCUAGCUUGGCUGUCUUUCUUUCUCUAUGUUGCUGCUGGGCACAGACACACUCUCAUCAUCACCAUUUUGAUUGACAGCAGCCAACACAAUUAUUCAUUAAUUAUUAAUUGGAAACAACUUUUAACAAUGGAUCUCUUGGCUCUU
This 248-nucleotide unclassified non-coding RNA is filed under the name plant metagenome. Its description in RNAcentral is "partial contains small subunit ribosomal RNA, internal transcribed spacer 1, and 5.8S ribosomal RNA". The record is from RNAcentral.